ACUGUUAGGCUUGGGACCGGGAGAGGUGGGAGGUACUCCAGGGGUAGGGGUGAAAUCUCGUAAUCCUUGGGGGACCACCGAUGGCGAAGGCAUCCCACCAGAACGGGUCCGACGGUGAGGGACGAAAGCUGGGGGCACGAACCGGAUUAGAUACCCGGGUAGUCCCAGCCGUAAACGAUGCUCGCUAGGUGUCAGGUGCGGUGCGACCGCAUCUGGUGCCGCAGUGAAAACUUGAAGCGAGUCACCUGGGAAGUACGGUCGCAAGGCUGAAACUUAAAGGAAUUGGCGGGGGAGCACUACAACGGGUGGAGCCUGCGGUUCAAUUGGAUUCAACGCCGGAAAGCUUACCGGGUCAGACAGCAAUAUGAGGGUCAAGCUAAAGACUUUACCGGAUUCGCUGAGAGGAGGUGCAUGGCCGUCGUCAGUUCGUAUCGCGAGACAUCCUGUUAAGUCAGGCAACGAGCAAGACCCGUGCCCACAGUUGCCAGCAUACCCUCCGGGGUGAUGGGCACACUGUGGGGACCGCCGCUGCUAAAGCGGAGGAAGGCGCGGGCUACGGUAGGUCAGUAUGCCCCGAAUCAUCCGGGCUACACGCGGGCUACAAUGGUUGGGACAAUGGGCACCUGCACCGAGAGGUGAUGGCAAUCUCCUAAACCCAGCCUUAGUUCGGAUUGAGGGCUGCAACUCGCCCUCAUGAAGCCGGAAUCCGUAGUAAUCGCGUAUCAAUAUCACGCGGUGAAUACGUCCCUGCUCCUUGCACGCACCGCCCGUCAAACCAUGCGAGUGAGGUCUGAAUGAGGGCACGCUUUUUGGCGUGUUCGAAUUUGGGCUUCGCGAGUGGGGUUAAGUCGUAACAAGGUAACC
RNAcentral lists this ribosomal RNA (864 nucleotides) under uncultured Candidatus Methanoperedens sp. RNAcentral's name for it is "bacterial SSU rRNA". It matches the Rfam family "Archaeal small subunit ribosomal RNA", at positions 583 to 1448 of the family's 1478-position model. Lineage: Archaea; Methanobacteriati; Methanobacteriota; Methanomicrobia; Methanosarcinales; Candidatus Methanoperedentaceae. The record is from RNAcentral.